GUGGGGAAUUUUGGACAAUGGGCGCAAGCCUGAUCCAGCAAUGCCGCGUGCAGGAAGAAGGCCUUCGGGUUGUAAACUGCUUUUGUACGGAACGAAACGGUCCUGGUUAAUACCUGGGGCUAAUGACGGUACCGUAAGAAUAAGCACCGGCUAACUACGUGCCAGCAGCCGCGGUAAUACGUAGGGUGCAAGCGUUAAUCGGAAUUACUGGGCGUAAAGCGUGCGCAGGCGGUUUUGUAAGACAGGCGUGAAAUCCCCGGGCUCAACCUGGGAAUUGGGCUUGGGACUGCAAGGCUGGAGUGCGGCAGAGGGGGAUGGAAUUCCGCGUGUAGCAGUGAAAUGCGUAGAUAUGCGGAGGAACACCGAUGGCGAAGGCAAUCCCCUGGGCCUGCACUGACGCUCAUGCACGAAAGCGUGGGGAGCAAACAGGAUUAGAUACCCUAGUAGUCC
This 450-nucleotide ribosomal RNA is filed under the name uncultured bacterium. Its description in RNAcentral is "partial 16S ribosomal RNA". It matches the Rfam family "Bacterial small subunit ribosomal RNA", at positions 354 to 796 of the family's 1533-position model. The record is from RNAcentral.